GAUGAAGAACGUAGCGAAAUGCGAUAAGUAAUGUGAAUUGCAGAAUUCAGUGAAUCAUCGAAUCUUUGAACGCACAUUGCGCCCCUUGGUAUUCCGAGGGGCAUGCCUGUUCGAGCGUCAUUAUAACCCUCAAGCUCAGCUUGGUGUUGGGGCCUGCUGCAGUGGCAGCCCUUAAAAUCAGUGGCGGCGCCAUCUGGCUCUAAGCGUAGUAAUUCUUCUCGCUAUGGAGUCCUGGUGGAUGCUUGCCAUCAACCCCCAAUUUUUCUAUGGUUGACCUCGGAUCAGGUAGGGAUACCCGCUGAACUUAAGCAUAUCAAUAGCGGAGGA
Molecule: unclassified non-coding RNA, 327 nt
Filed under: soil metagenome
Description: partial contains 5.8S ribosomal RNA, internal transcribed spacer 2, and large subunit ribosomal RNA
Rfam family: 5.8S ribosomal RNA (bases 1-120)
Source: RNAcentral